Molecule: ribosomal RNA, 405 nt
Filed under: uncultured Anaerolineae bacterium
Lineage: Bacteria; Bacillati; Chloroflexota; Anaerolineae
Description: bacterial SSU rRNA
Rfam family: Bacterial small subunit ribosomal RNA
Source: RNAcentral
UAAGGAAUAUUGCACAAUGGGCGAAAGCCUGAUGCAGCAACGCCGCGUGGGUGAAGAAGGCCUUCGGGUCGUAAAACCCUUUUCUGGGGGAAGAGGAAGGACGGUACCCCAGGAAUAAGCACCGGCUGACUACGUGCCAGCAGCCGCGGUAAUACGUAGGGUGCGAGCGUUAUCCGGAUUUACUGGGCGUAAAGUGCGCGCAGGCGGUGUCGUAAGUUGGACGUGAAAUCUUUCGGCUUAACCGGGAGGGGCCGUUCAAUACUGCGGCACUAGAGGGCAGAAGAGGGGAGUGGAAUUCCCGGUGUAGGGGUAAAAUCCUUAGAGAUCGGGAGGAACACCAGUGGCGAAGGCGGCUCCCUGGUCUGUUCCUGACGCUGAGGCGCGAAAGCGUGGGGAGCGAACGGG